GACGAACGCUGGCGGCGUGCUUAACACAUGCAAGUCGAACGGAAAGGCCCCUUUGGGGGUACUCGAGUGGCGAACGGGUGAGUAACACGUGAGUAACCUGCCCUUGACUUCGGGAUAACUUCAGGAAACUGGGGCUAAUACCGGAUAGGAAUCCUUGCUGCAUGGUGGGGGUUGGAAAGCUUCGGCGGUUUUGGAUGGACUCGCGGCUUAUCAGCUUGUUGGUGGGGUAGUGGCUUACCAAGGCUUUGACGGGUAGCCGGCCUGAGAGGGCGACCGGCCACAUUGGGACUGAGAUACGGCCCAGACUCCUACGGGAGGCAGCAGUGGGGAAUACUGCACAAUGGGCGGAAGCCGGAUGCAGCAACGCCGCGUGCGGGAUGACGGCCUUCGGGUUGUAAACCGCUUUCAGCAGGGGCGAAGCUUGUGGUGACGGUACCUGCAGAAGAAGCACCGGCUAACUACGUG
RNAcentral lists this ribosomal RNA (465 nucleotides) under uncultured bacterium. RNAcentral's name for it is "partial 16S ribosomal RNA". It matches the Rfam family "Bacterial small subunit ribosomal RNA", at positions 28 to 507 of the family's 1533-position model. The record is from RNAcentral.